UUUGACUUGAAAACACCAAAUUUUAUAUGAAUUUUUCAAUUUUGUCUCAUGUCUUUGUUACUAAUCUAUUUUUUUUUUUUGCAGGUUUUUAAUUAUUUGGUACUCAUCUUCCACUAAUUUAAAGGUAGAUCUAUUAUUUUUAGAUAUGUAUUUUUGUGUGUUCUGUAAAGGUAGAUUUAUAUAAUCUUCCACUCAUUUUUUUCUGUUUUUAAGCCAUUUGAACGUUUUUGAAUAUGCAGGUUUUUCAGAUCUGGAUUUAAUAUGCAGGUUUUUCAGAUCUGGAAAACUUCUGGGACGACU
RNAcentral lists this long non-coding RNA (300 nucleotides) under Brassica rapa (field mustard). Its description in RNAcentral is "long non-coding RNA (BRAP_LNC001481)". The record is from RNAcentral. Lineage: Eukaryota; Viridiplantae; Streptophyta; Magnoliopsida; Brassicales; Brassicaceae.